UACGUAGGGUGCGAGCGUUGUCCGGAAUUAUUGGGCGUAAAGAGCGUGUAGGCGGCCUGACAGGUCUGCUGUGAAAACUCGAGGCUCAACCUCGAGAUGUCGGCGGAAACCGUCUGGCUAGAGUCCGGAAGAGGAGAGUGGAAUUCCUGGUGUAGCGGUGAAAUGCGCAGAUAUCGGGAAGAACACCUAUGGCGAAGGCAGCUCUCUGGACGGUACUGACGCUGAGACGCGAAAGCGUGGGGAGCGAACAGG
This 252-nucleotide ribosomal RNA is filed under the name uncultured bacterium. Its description in RNAcentral is "partial 16S ribosomal RNA". It matches the Rfam family "Bacterial small subunit ribosomal RNA", at positions 524 to 776 of the family's 1533-position model. The record is from RNAcentral.